UUAAAUUGAAGAGUUUGAUCAUGGCUCAGAUUGAACGCUGGCGGCAGGCCUAACACAUGCAAGUCGAACGGUAACAGGAAACAGCUUGCUGUUUCGCUGACGAGUGGCGGACGGGUGAGUAAUGUCUGGGAAGCUGCCUGAUGGAGGGGGAUAACUACUGGAAACGGUAGCU
This 172-nucleotide ribosomal RNA is filed under the name Escherichia coli. RNAcentral describes it as "partial 16S ribosomal RNA". It matches the Rfam family "Bacterial small subunit ribosomal RNA", at positions 1 to 164 of the family's 1533-position model. The record is from RNAcentral. Lineage: Bacteria; Pseudomonadati; Pseudomonadota; Gammaproteobacteria; Enterobacterales; Enterobacteriaceae.